Molecule: ribosomal RNA, 110 nt
Filed under: uncultured bacterium
Lineage: Bacteria
Description: partial 16S ribosomal RNA
Source: RNAcentral
CCCUUGUACACACCGCCCGUCACACCAUAGGGAGGUUGGUUUACCUCGAAGACGGUGCGCUAACCGCGAAGGAGGCAGCCGGACCACGGGUAGGGUCAGCGACUGGGGUG